UCCAACCCUCCUUCUACCCCUUGCAGAUCUAAUAUGAAGUGGGCAUCGGUUGAAAUUGUUAUGGCCGCAACAGUACAGCAAGUAUUGUUUCAGUUUUUAUGUGAUAUUUGAUUGUGAGUGUGCUGUUUGAUGAUGCUCGCCUCAUCCAUUUUUCAUGUCUUGUAUGAAAUCUUUACCCUAUUAGAAGAUGCCACCAUCGAUUUAAUAAUAACACUAAUGAUCAUUUGAUUCUAGUCUAGAGAUACAACAACAUUAGUUAGAUCCAUGGAUGGAUGGAUGAACACACACAGCUAGCAGCUUAGCAGUGUUAGCAACCACAAAAAUCAGCCUUGUGAUUCAUUCUGUUGACGCAAGCAUGCUCUAUUCGUUUUGGAUCCCAGCCAUGUAUGUACUAAUAAGCUAUCUCAAGCACACGCACAUGUUGCUCGAUUGAUAUCUGUAGUUAUAGCAGCAGUACGUAUGUGUCUCCUAUACUAGAUUAAUUUCUAGACUUAGCUCAACAACAACAGCUCUUACCUGUUUGUUCGUUUUAGAGCAGCAGACAUCCUCAGUUGACAAUGAUGACAACCAGGGCAUCCACCGCCACAACGACGCUCCGCACAUGGUCCAACUUGGCUACAACUUCCUCUACCGCGUACAGUGGCCGCGGUUGUCUGUGGCAUCAAGUACAGCCUCCUCUUCGAUAUUUUGCGUAAAUUCAAGACGAAAGAUGUUCAAAGAAGCACCAAGACAUUCUUAUAUAGCAAGUUAUGUAAUAAUAGCUGGGUUAUCUGGGCAUUGAGAACUCUAGAGUUUCAUGUAUCUUCUCUCUGUUUCUGAAUGAAAUGUUGUAUGUUUUAGAAUUA
Molecule: long non-coding RNA, 845 nt
Organism: Triticum dicoccoides
Lineage: Eukaryota; Viridiplantae; Streptophyta; Magnoliopsida; Poales; Poaceae
Exons: 2
Source: RefSeq, a predicted model, not a curated record